Molecule: ribosomal RNA, 588 nt
Filed under: uncultured bacterium
Lineage: Bacteria
Description: partial 16S ribosomal RNA
Rfam family: Bacterial small subunit ribosomal RNA
Source: RNAcentral
UGGGGAAUUUUGGACAAUGGGCGAAAGCCUGAUCCAGCAAUGCCGCGUGUGUGAAGAAGGCCUUCGGGUUGUAAAGCACUUUUGUCCGGAAAGAAAUCCUUGGCUCUAAUACAGUCGGGGGAUGACGGUACCGGAAGAAUAAGCACCGGCUAACUACGUGCCAGCAGCCGCGGUAAUACGUAGGGUGCAAGCGUUAAUCGGAAUUACUGGGCGUAAAGCGUGCGCAGGCGGUUUGCUAAGACCGAUGUGAAAUCCCCGGGCUCAACCUGGGAACUGCAUUGGUGACUGGCAGGCUAGAGUAUGGCAGAGGGGGGUAGAAUUCCACGUGUAGCAGUGAAAUGCGUAGAGAUGUGGAGGAAUACCGAUGGCGAAGGCAGCCCCCUGGGCCAAAUACUGACGCUCAUGCACGAAAAGCGUGGGGAGCAAACAGGAUUAGAUACCCUGGUAGUCCACGCCCUAAAACGAUGUCAACUAGUUGUUGGGGAUUCAUUUCCUUAGUAACGUAGCUAACGCGUGAAGUUGACCGCCUGGGGAGUACGGUCGCAAGGUUAAAACUUAAAUGAAUUGACGGGGUCAUAGCUGUUUCCU